RNAcentral lists this small RNA (408 nucleotides) under Arabidopsis thaliana (thale cress). RNAcentral's name for it is "ATSL111360". The record is from RNAcentral. Lineage: Eukaryota; Viridiplantae; Streptophyta; Magnoliopsida; Brassicales; Brassicaceae.
UCUUUAAUUUAUAUUUUUUGAUCGCUAAGUUGUUCGUUUGCAUGUCGCUGGAUCCAGCGAUCAAAAGUAUCGACUAAUCGCUAAAACCAGCGACUGAUCGCUAAAAAUUUCAGCGACCAAAAAUUGCGGUCGCUGAUCGCUGGCGAUUAUCGCUAUUUUUGGUCGCUGAACCAGCGACAGGCAAACGAACAACUUUUGGUCGUUGUCGCUGGUUUCAGUCGCCAGCGACAAGCAAACGAACAGGGCCUAAAUUCUAUUAUAACCGGAGAUAUUCCAAACUCUAAAGGCGAGGGUUCUUCUCCAGCGGCAAAAUUUAUGGACAAUGUUGUCUACAGAUUGUGUUUCAAGGGUUUGGUGAAUUAUGAGGCGGUUGCGGACGAUGUAGAAAAGGCAGUGAAGGCUGGAUUU